Molecule: long non-coding RNA, 554 nt
Organism: Neogale vison (American mink)
Lineage: Eukaryota; Metazoa; Chordata; Mammalia; Carnivora; Mustelidae
Exons: 3
Source: RefSeq, a predicted model, not a curated record
CGGAAGUGAGGUCACGCAGGCGCCGGGGUCUCUUCCGCCGCUGGUCUGGUUUCGCUUUGGCUGGGGAAAAGAGCUUCAUCCGCCGAGUUGGUAGAUUCUGGCGGUGUCCUCGCGUCCUCACGGACCACGCGGUUCCGGCGCACUCGGGUAGGAUCAAUUAAUGACUCAGGAAUCUUUGUGAAGCAUCAUUCAUCUAUUUUCCUACAGGCAAGAAGUCAUGUUGAAUGGGAACUCUUUGUGAGUAGUGUCAGAAAGACUUGAGUGAAUGCUCAUACCUUUAGACACAGGAGAACUCAGAAUGGAGGGAACACUUUCGAGGGUAAGGAAUAUGGAAAAGGCUUCCUUUCUCUGCAGGAGAAACCCUGUAUGGAGACAGACUUCCUGGGUUUAAACAACACAGAAAAAACCAUCUGACUCCAAAUAUUUUGGACUGGAAAACCAACACCCAAGAGAAAACCUUCACAUGCAGUGACAGUGGGGAUGCCUUCCGUGAUCCGUCUUAUUUCAAAGGACAAAUGACAACUCAUGAGGGAGAAGAAGAAAACUAAAAGCAA